GAUCGGCGAUCGUCCUAUCAGCUAGUUGGCGGGGUAACAGCCCACCAAGGCGAUGACGGGUAGCAGGUGUGAGAGCACGACCUGCGACAUCGGAACUGAGACACUGUCCGGACUCCUACGGGAGGCUGCAGCGACGAAUCUUCCGCAAUGGGCGCAAGCCUGACGGAGCGACGCCGCGUGUGGGAUGAAGCGCCUUCGGCGUGUAAACCACUGUCAGGGGGCAGAACCAAUGAUCGCCCCCAGAGGAAGAGACGGCUAACCCUGUGCCAGCAGCCGCGGUAAGACAGGGGUCUCGAGCGUUAAUCGGAAUUACUGGGCUUAAAGGGUGCGUAGGUGGGCCAGCAAGUGCUUUGUGAAAUCCCCCGGCUCAACCGGGGAACUGCGGGGCAUACUGCUGGCCUUGAGGAAGGUAGGCGCCGAGGGAACAGUAGGUGGAGCGGUGAAAUGCGUAGAUAUCUACUGG
This 463-nucleotide ribosomal RNA is filed under the name uncultured Planctomycetota bacterium. RNAcentral's name for it is "bacterial SSU rRNA". It matches the Rfam family "Bacterial small subunit ribosomal RNA", at positions 224 to 704 of the family's 1533-position model. The record is from RNAcentral. Lineage: Bacteria; Pseudomonadati; Planctomycetota.